Molecule: ribosomal RNA, 430 nt
Filed under: uncultured bacterium
Lineage: Bacteria
Description: bacterial SSU rRNA
Rfam family: Bacterial small subunit ribosomal RNA
Source: RNAcentral
AACGCGAAGAACCUUACCCACCUUUGACAUGUACGGAAUCCUUUAGAGAUAGAGGAGUGCUCGAAAGAGAGCCGUAACACAGGUGCUGCAUGGCUGUCGUCAGCUCGUGUCGUGAGAUGUUGGGUUAAGUCCCGCAACGAGCGCAACCCUUGCCAUUAGUUGCUACGAAAGGGCACUCUAAUGGGACUGCCGGUGACAAACCGGAGGAAGGUGGGGAUGACGUCAAGUCCUCAUGGCCCUUAUAGGUGGGGCUACACACGUCAUACAAUGGCUGGUACAGAGGGUUGCCAACCCGCGAGGGGGAGCUAAUCCCAUAAAGCCAGUCGUAGUCCGGAUCGCAGUCUGCAACUCGACUGCGUGAAGUCGGAAUCGCUAGUAAUCGCGGAUCAGAAUGUCGCGGUGAAUACGUUCCCGGGUCUUGUACACACCG